RNAcentral lists this ribosomal RNA (251 nucleotides) under uncultured prokaryote. RNAcentral's name for it is "partial 16S ribosomal RNA". It matches the Rfam family "Bacterial small subunit ribosomal RNA", at positions 525 to 775 of the family's 1533-position model. The record is from RNAcentral.
ACGUAGGGGGUAAGCGUUGUCCGGAUUCACUGGGUGUAAAGGGCGCGCAGGCGGGCUAACAAGUCAGGCGUGAAAUCCUACAGCUUAACUGUAGAACUGCCUUUGAAACUGUUAGUCUUGAGUGCGGAAGAGAGAGAUGGAAUUACAGGUGUAGCGGUGAAAUGCGUAGAUAUCUGGAAGAACACCAGUAGCGAAGGCGGUCUCUUGGUACGUUACUGACGCUGAGGCGCGAAAGCGUGGGGAGCAAACAG